RNAcentral lists this ribosomal RNA (497 nucleotides) under uncultured bacterium. Its description in RNAcentral is "partial 16S ribosomal RNA". It matches the Rfam family "Bacterial small subunit ribosomal RNA", at positions 28 to 507 of the family's 1533-position model. The record is from RNAcentral.
GAUGAACGCUGGCGGCGUGCCUAAUACAUGCAAGUCGAGCGAACAGACGAGGAGCUUGCUCCUCUGACGUUAGCGGCGGACGGGUGAGUAACACGUGGAUAACCUACCUAUAAGACUGGGAUAACUUCGGGAAACCGGAGCUAAUACCGGAUAAUAUAUUGAACCGCAUGGUUCAAUAGUGAAAGACGGUUUUGCUGUCACUUAUAGAUGGAUCCGCGCCGCAUUAGCUAGUUGGUAAGGUAACGGCUUACCAAGGCAACGAUGCGUAGCCGACCUGAGAGGGUGAACGGCCACACUGGAGCUGAGACACGGUCCAGACUCCUACGGGAGGCAGCAGUAGGGAAUCUUCCGCAAUGGGCGAAAGCCUGACGGAGCAACGCCGCGUGAGUGAUGAAGGUCUUCGGAUCGUAAAACUCUGUUAUUAGGGAAGAACAAAUGUGUAAGUAACUAUGCACGUCUUGACGGUACCUAAUCAGAAAGCCACGGCUAACUACGUG